CCAAGUCCCACUUCCUGCGCAACACAGCUGCAAGCAAACUUUAUUAAAUCUUGGAGUGGAUCUUUCCUGUCAGCCCGUCACAGACGUCAGCGGUGUUUGCUACAGCUCUGGAGGCAGUCUGCUGAAGGUAAGGACCUCCACAGCCGAAACCAGCUGUGUUUAACUAGCAGUCCAACAUCUAGUAUAUGCAGGUGGUAAUUUUACAACCGCACCAUGCUGCCCGGAGAUAAACAGAAAGGACCUUCCAGCAAAAGUCAGCUGUUUGAGUCUCUGAGGGUUUAUCUGGACAAGAAGGACAGAUUGCAACCCAUUAUUGGUCUGGGUAGUGUUAUAGAAUGUGUGAAGGCAGGUGCACAAGCACUGUACUUGUGUGAGGUGUGUAUAUGUCGACUUAGUAAAUCUGACAUGCGGAACCACAUUAUGGGAAGUCUGCACAGAUACAACUACAUUAAUAGCUGGUACCCUCACUUAAUGUCUGGGUGGAAGGAGAGCUCUGACCUUUCUAAACUGGCCAGGCCACUGAUGGACAUGGCCAAGAUUCUGGAGGGACAGGAGGGACCUGGAGAUGUUCAGCUGAUAGAAGUUGAAGAUGACGUGUACCAGAAGAUAUCAACACAUGGUGAAAAUGACGCAAUAACUCUGAUAAGUUCCUUAAGAGCUGAACCUGAGAGUAGUCCAGAGACUUCCUCCAGCCAAUCCCAAAGGAUAGUGCUGCUCGCCAAGCGCCCACAGAGACAACCUGGAAAAGCCUUCAAGCCUCUCAGGAGCUUAUACAAGACGAAAUAUCAGGUGUUGUUCGAAAAGUCCAGCCUUUCUGGAAGGAACAGCUGCUUUUUUGAAGGCUACACAGGAACCAAGCCUCUUAUUGGUCUUUGCUGUGUGGUGGAGUGUCAGAAUGAGGCUGGGCAGACAUGCGGUUUCUUAUGCCACUGCUGCCGCACUCGACCCAAGAAAGGAGGCAUCACUUAUCAUCUAACCAGCACCUCCCACGUCUACAACUACUUGAUGGAAGCUCACCCCGAGAAAGUGAAGUUUGUGAACGCAGCUGAUGAGAGCAGCCGUGGGAUUCUGGAGUCGCUGGCAGAGAAAGUGGAGGAAGACGAGGGAAGAGGAAACCCAAAGGUUGUAACUGCACCAGAAUCCAUCUGUACCCGCAUGGAAAAAAAAAGUUACAACUGGUGUGUGAGGAUGUUGUGUAAAUUAUCAAUCGGAACUAACUACCAGCAACAGGAAGCAGCUGUUGAUGGGCCUUUUCAAGGCGUGCCAUACGUACCUGUACAGGCUGUAGCACCGUCAAACUGGACACCGCAGAUUACAACUGGGAAGAGGAAGAAGAAAUCCAAGAAAGCGACUAAAACCGUGUUUAACGUAAGCCUGCCUUUCACCGACGGCGCACUGCUCCUGGAGAGGAGCCCCUUCAGCAACGAGCGUGUCCCCAUGUGUGCAUACUCGCCUUCGUCCCACCCAGCCGCCAGUCCUUCCCCAGAGUCCCAGACAGAGGGCCCUGAGCUGUUUGUAGGUAAUCACACCGACCACACGUCGGCCUGCGGGGCCGCACAACUUCAGCCAGACGUCUAUAAUAAUGAAGGAGGCGCUUGGCAAUAUGUGGCACCCAAAGAAAACCUCCGAGUGAGUGUUUAUCCAGAUGUGGAGCGUUCCUUUUGGGGUAAUGAAGAGGGUCACGGUGCAGUGGCCCAGAGUAAGACUGGCACCGAAGGGCAAGUAUCAGCUGAGAACCUCUCAGGUGCAGCUUGGCAUCAUUACCAACAGCCCCAGUACUCGGCACCAGGUUACGUGAACCUCACCGUGUGGCAAGCAACGCCGCCCGGCGUGGGGCAUCACGGCUCAUCCGAUGAAAUGGUUCCUUACGUGGAUGCAAGCAGGGUCGCUACGUAUCCCUCCCUGGGAUACUCCCAGCCGCACGCCGCUCCACAGCCUAGAGCACGGUUUCAUGGGGUUGAACAGAGACAAUUGCAACCAUACAUGGAGUUUACUGAACGUGUUCACGCAGCUCCUCACGUUAUGACCCCGGCUGCUCUCUAUCAGGACGGACGAUACGGCUAUGGGUUCACGGCUGACCCCAACUACCAUAUUAGACCUAGGACGAAUGAUAACCAGCCCUUUCCUGAUCCAGCCGGUGGUUUUGCUGUUAGGGCUGUGUACCAGCCAAACGCCCAUGUCCCACCAUGGGCACCUCUGUGCUACACAGCCCAGUCUAUGUGACUCUGAGCCACGGGUUUAUCAGAUGUAAAGAGUUCAGGAGGCGACGCAGGAACGGUUUAGCUCACGCAGUGCAACUCUUAAUUUAAAUGCUCGUAUAUUGUCAGGUGUGCGUUCUACUGAAGGAACCGCGCAUGGGUUCUAAUCAUGCUGUGGUAUUUUCUUUUAUGUUGCUCCAAGGAGAUUGGAUCUGGUUUCUGUCAUAAAUGAAGGAAUCUUGGCCUGAGUGCGUCUAAACUUUCCAAUUUAGUCCCUCCUCCACUCUAAAUUUUGCGUCAACUGGCAGAUUUUUUUUUGUUGAAAUAUAAUUAAGAAAUGAUCAAAUUUGCGUUUUUAUUUGUACAGAUUGUUUUGUUUUGAAAUGUAGCUUUCAAGUGUUUCACGGUCAACAAAGCUUGAGCAACAAGCAGUUGCUGAAAUGUGUUAUUAAGCAAUAAAAUACGUGACAAGCCAGUUCUGGUGUUCA
This 2686-nucleotide long non-coding RNA is filed under the name Betta splendens (Siamese fighting fish). RNAcentral describes it as "lncRNA (ENSBSLG00000025626.1)". The record is from RNAcentral. Lineage: Eukaryota; Metazoa; Chordata; Actinopteri; Anabantiformes; Osphronemidae.